Non-coding RNA from Podarcis lilfordi (Lilford's wall lizard), 82 nucleotides. NCBI's taxonomy places the organism in Eukaryota, Metazoa, Chordata, Lepidosauria, Squamata, Lacertidae. The record is from the annotation of a GenBank genome assembly.
GCCUGUGUGUCUGGGAUAGCUCAGUUGGUAGAGCAUGAGACUUUUCAUCCCAGGGUUGUGGUUUCAAGCCCCACAUUGGGCA